This 119-nucleotide ribosomal RNA is filed under the name Mesitornis unicolor (brown roatelo). Lineage: Eukaryota; Metazoa; Chordata; Aves; Mesitornithiformes; Mesitornithidae. The record is from RNAcentral.
GCCUAUGACCAUACCACUCUGAGAAUGCCCAAUCUUGUCUGAUCUCGGAAGCUAGGCAGGGUCAGGCCUGGUUAGUACUUGGGUGGGAGACCGUGUGGGAAUACUGGGUGCUGUAGGCU